AAGGAUCAUUAUUGAAUGCACUGGAGUCGGUUGUCGCUGGCCUCUUCACUGAGGCAUGUGCACGCCUUCUCCGUUCAUCCACACACACCUGUGCACUUGUGAGACGGACUAACCCUUCCGAGGGGAUGCCCCGUCUAUUAUACAUAAACUCCAAUAUAUUAAAUUUGAAUGUAAUCAGAUGUAACACAUCAUUGAACU
RNAcentral lists this unclassified non-coding RNA (198 nucleotides) under Ceratobasidium sp. AG-C. RNAcentral's name for it is "ITS1". Lineage: Eukaryota; Fungi; Basidiomycota; Agaricomycetes; Cantharellales; Ceratobasidiaceae. The record is from RNAcentral.